AAAAGAAGCAGAGGGGGCUUAGUGGUGGGGUGACUGCGUACCUUUUGUAUAAUGGGUCAGCGACUUAUAUUCUGUAGCAAGGUUAACCGAAUAGGGGAGCCGGAGGGAAACCGAGUCUUAAUUGGGCGUUAAGUUGCAGGGUAUAGACCCGAAACCCGGUGAUCUAGCCAUGGGCAGGUUGAAGGUUGGGUAACACUAACUGGAGGACCGAACCGACUAAUGUUGAAAAAUUAGCGGAUGACCUGUGGCUGGGGGUGAAAGGCCAAUCAAACCGGGAGAUAGCUGGUUCUCCCCGAAAGCUAUUUAGGUAGCGCCUCGUGAAUUCAUCUCCGGGGGUAGAGCGCUGUUU
RNAcentral lists this ribosomal RNA (349 nucleotides) under Salmonella enterica subsp. enterica serovar Schwarzengrund. Its description in RNAcentral is "bacterial LSU rRNA". It matches the Rfam family "Bacterial large subunit ribosomal RNA", at positions 568 to 915 of the family's 2925-position model. Lineage: Bacteria; Pseudomonadati; Pseudomonadota; Gammaproteobacteria; Enterobacterales; Enterobacteriaceae. The record is from RNAcentral.